UACGUAGGGGGCGAGCGUUGUCCGGAAUCAUUGGGCGUAAAGCGCGUGUAGGCGGUUUGGUAGGUCUCGCGUUAAAGCCCGCAGCUCAACUGCGGAGGUGCGCGGGAAACCACCUCACUAGAGUCCGGAAGAGGAGAGUGGAAUUCCAGGUGUAGCGGUGAAAUGCGCAGAUAUCUGGAGGAACACCAGUGGCGAAGGCGGCUCUCUGGGACGGUACUGACGCUGAGACGCGAAAGCGUGGGGAGCGAACAGG
This 253-nucleotide ribosomal RNA is filed under the name uncultured bacterium. Its description in RNAcentral is "partial 16S ribosomal RNA". It matches the Rfam family "Bacterial small subunit ribosomal RNA", at positions 524 to 776 of the family's 1533-position model. The record is from RNAcentral.